GAAAACUUUCUCACAGAAGUGAAUUCUAAAGC
RNAcentral lists this non-coding RNA (32 nucleotides) under Rattus norvegicus (Norway rat). The record is from RNAcentral. Lineage: Eukaryota; Metazoa; Chordata; Mammalia; Rodentia; Muridae.